UACGGAAGGCAGCAGUGGGGAAUAUUGCACAAUGGGCGAAAGCCUGAUGCAGCUAUGCCGCGUGUAUGAAGAAGGCCUUAGGGUUGUAAAGUACUUUCAUCGGGGAGGAAAAACAAAACUAAUAAUUUUAUUUCUUGACGUUACCCGAAAAAGAAGCACCGGCUAACUCCGUGCCAGCAGCCGCGGUAAUACGGAGGGUGCUAGCGUUAAUCAGAAUUACUGGGCGUAAAGAGCACGUAGGUGGUUUUUUUAAGUCAGAUGUGAAAUCCCUGGGCUUAACCUAGGAACUGCAUUUUGAAACUGAAAUACUAGAGUAUCGUAGAGGGAGGUAGAAUUCUAGGUGUAGCGGUGAAAUGCGUAGAUAUCUGGAGGAAUACCUGUGGCGAAAGCGGCCUCUAAACGAAUACUGACACUGAGUGCGAAAGCGUGGGGAGCAAACAGGGAUUAGAUACC
This 453-nucleotide ribosomal RNA is filed under the name uncultured bacterium. RNAcentral describes it as "bacterial SSU rRNA". It matches the Rfam family "Bacterial small subunit ribosomal RNA", at positions 340 to 786 of the family's 1533-position model. The record is from RNAcentral.